AUUGAACGCUGGCGGCAUGCUUUACACAUGCAAGUCGAACGGCAGCGCGGGGGCAACCCUGGCGGCGAGUGGCGAACGGGUGAGUAAUGCAUCGGAACGUAUCCUGUAAUGGGGGAUAACGUAGCGAAAGUUACGCUAAUACCGCAUACGCUCGAGAGAGGAAAGUGGGGGAUCGCAAGACCUCGCGCGAGAGGAGCGGCCGAUGGCGGAUUAGCUAGUUGGUGGGGUAAAGGCCCACCAAGGCGACGAUCCGUAGCGGGUCUGAGAGGACGGCCCGCCACACUGGGACUGAGACACGGCCCAGACUCCUACGGGAGGCAGCAGUGGGGAAUUUUGGACAAUGGGGGCAACCCUGAUCCAGCCAUUCCGCGUGAGUGAAGAAGGCC
Molecule: ribosomal RNA, 386 nt
Filed under: uncultured bacterium
Lineage: Bacteria
Description: bacterial SSU rRNA
Rfam family: Bacterial small subunit ribosomal RNA
Source: RNAcentral